This 550-nucleotide ribosomal RNA is filed under the name uncultured Glomeromycotina. RNAcentral describes it as "SSU rRNA". It matches the Rfam family "Eukaryotic small subunit ribosomal RNA", at positions 548 to 1098 of the family's 1831-position model. Lineage: Eukaryota; Fungi; Glomeromycota. The record is from RNAcentral.
UUGGAGGGCAAGUCUGGUGCCAGCAGCCGCGGUAAUUCCAGCUCCAAUAGCGUAUAUUAAAGUUGUUGCAGUUAAAAAGCUCGUAGUUGAAUUUCGGGAUCAAUACGUCGGUCAUGCUUUUUGGUACGAACUGGCGUCAUUGGUUUCUCCUUUCUGACGAACCAUGAUGUCAUUAAUUUGGUGUUAUGGGGAGUUGGGACUGUUACUUUGAAAAAAUUAGAGUGUUUAAAGCAGGCAUAAGCUUGAAUACAUUAGCAUGGAAUAAUGAAAUAGGACGUUUGAUCCUAUUUUGUUGGUUUCUAGGAUCAACGUAAUGAUUAAUAGGGAUAGUUGGGGGCAUUAGUAUUCAAUUGUCAGAGGCGAAAUUCUUGGAUUUAUUGAAGACUAACUACUGCGAAAGCAUUUGCCAAGGAUGUUUUCAUUAAUCAAGAACGAAAGUUAGGGGAUCGAAGACGAUCAGAUACCGUCGUAGUCUUAACCAUAAACUAUGCCGACUAGGGAUCGGAUGAUGUUAAUUUUUUAAUGACUCAUUCGGCGCCUUACGGGAAAC